Molecule: long non-coding RNA, 3810 nt
Organism: Vitis vinifera (wine grape)
Lineage: Eukaryota; Viridiplantae; Streptophyta; Magnoliopsida; Vitales; Vitaceae
Exons: 2
Source: RefSeq, a predicted model, not a curated record
UAGUACCAAACAAAAUUCGCUAACUAGUACCAUUUGUUGGAUGUUGAGCAAGAGUCUCGGACUAUGUAGUUGAUUGUGCAUUUACAUUUGGUCAAUGUCGUUGAUUGCAUGUAGCAAUAAAUAAACAUUGACUUUUAGAUGUAAAUGUCGUCUAGGUUGUUGCUCAGACACUAGGUGUGACUAUCCAUUUGCUCAAUGCUUGAAAUCUUCGGCUGUGUUGGUUGGUCCGUCUAUAAAUCCCAAUUGGCUUGGUCUGUCCAUUAUGUUUGGUAUUCAGAAAUGAGGAAAUCUCUUUCCUUUUGCGCUAGACAGAGCUUGUUUUGGUCUAAACAGAUUGAUCUUAGACUGAUCAUCUACUUACCUUAAAUGAAUUAAGGGUUUUUGAUUUGGAGAAGGACAUGUGGAGGAAAACCCCCCACAAUGCCCUCUUAAUUCGUCUACCUCUAUUUGGAUGAGUAGCCGAUGGGUUGAGGCAAAACGAAUUAUCUGUCUCUUCAAGUUACUUGGGCACUUAGGAACAUGUGUCAUUUGGGGCGACAAUGAUGGGUUACAUCUAUUAAGGUUGGCUGUUAGGCGGAACACCUUUUUGGGAAGCAUUUCCAGGUGGCUUGUCUCUUGGGAUACCUAGGUUUUUGGAUCCCUAUAAAUAGAGGGUUUCCACAACUUUUGGGUCACUUUUUGUCAUUUUCCUGUUUUGGAGUUUCUCUGCUCGCACUACACCUUCGUUGUCGCUGCAUCUGCCAUCGGUCGCUCUUCGCCUUCUUUAUCGUCGUCCUUAGGCUUGCUUCUGGCAUAUUUCUUUUCCUCUAGAGAGCGCUCAUUCCUGACUCUGGUAAGUUUUCCACCGCUCACAUUUCCUUCUGUUUGUUGUUUUUCUUUAAACCGCAUCGACGAUUUUUUGGUUUUGAGAGAAAAUGGACACCGUGGAAUCUAGAUUCUAGGGUAUUUUUUGGUGUUUUUGCUUUGGAAAUAAUGAUUGUGCCGAUGGUCAAACUUAGGGUUUUUCGGCUUUUCUCUUUUGUUCCUAUGUUGUCAGUGCAUUCGACAUCGAUUCAUGUUUUUUGUCCUGCUGCCAUUGCGUUGGGAUGAUGGGAACGAUUCUCCAUUUAUUUAUUACCUAAAGGACUUGCUCUAGCUAAGGGACUUGUUCUACAAGUUUUGGUAGCCAAUCCGUUUAGAUUUGGACUUGGGGUCCGUCUAGGUUUCUUGUUGUAGUGCUGAGGCAAUGCUGAAAGAUGAAUGGGUUGGGUGAUCGGUUUUGAUAACUGCGUUGUCUCGAACAGGUUUCCACACGAAUUAGAUCCACUUAGCAUAAUGCCAAGAGAAGGAGUCACUUCUACCAGCGAAAGCAAAAUGCCUCAGCAAAGUGGAUAGAAAAACACUAGAGUCGGGUGCCUCAGACGAGAACAUCCAGUUAGUGUCCUUUCUGAACGGGAAUUCUGGGCUCGUUUCCAUAUUCCAGACAAUAUCCCGAUCCAACUAACAGAUGGCGAGACUCUAUCCUCUACUGACCUUCCCAGCAACAUGAUGUAUUUACAAAGAAACAAUUCGCUAUUGGGUUUCGUUUACCUAUUCCUUCUCUCUUCAAGUAGUUUCUUCAUUUCACGGAAAUUCCUUCGGCUUUUCUUCAUUUGAAUGUUUUCCGGGUGUUGAUGGGAUGUAGUGUACUAGACAUGCUCUUCCAGUUGAAUCUCUCAUUGUUGGAAGUCUUGUUCAUUUAUACUGUCAAGAUAAGCUAGAAGGAAAGGUUCAGCUUAUCUGCUUAUAUUAUUUUCCUUUAGCUGGUGACUGGUCUUCUAGAUUCAUAUAAAGGUUUGGAAAAGGGGCAUGUCCUAGUUUCUGGUCCUUUGAGUGGUUCGUCUGAGAGACCAGACAGAGUUUUUUCUCCAUAGCGUUUAUUGGAAAUUCCGAGUAAGAUACGUUUUUGUUACUUUUUUUGUAUCUUGCAGUUAUUUCUUCCUGGCUGUAAAUUUACUAAUGAUCUCUCUGUUUGUGUAUUACAUGCAAGGAGGGGUGGAGACGUUUUAUAGAGUGGGUGGAAAAGGCUUCCUUCACCCAACUCAACAAGUUAUUUGAGAUAGACACAACUGAAUGAGCUUAUAAGGUUUUUCUAUCAGAUAAGAACUUGUUAGCGCUGAUCUACAAUCCCAAGUCGUUCAUCAUCCCCGUAUUUUCACGUCUAGCUCCCCCGUCUUUGGUGCUUGGCAAACACUUCAUAUUAAAGGAUUUGCCCUUCUACGAGGUUGCUCGUCUAGUAGAUUCUGAGGCAUGUCAGGCUCAUUUAGAAGAGUGGGAGAUAAAAUGUCAAGAUGGGACAUUGAGGCAAGCUCUGAUUGUUGGUUGUCCGUCAUCCAGUUCCGUUGUCCAUUCUUCCACUUAAAAGAAGAAAAAACCUAUUGCUUAUCCUGUCUAGAGGGCGAGGACUCCGCCUUCUACAUCUCCGUCUUCUUCAUCAUCUUUAUCUUCUUCAUCUUCUAACGACGAACCAGAAACAGGGGUUGAUUGAGUAGUACCCCCUAUUAUUUGUGAGGAAGAAGAAAAAAAGAAUAUGACUUCCAAAUUGAGGGUUGGAUUUUGUGAGAGACAGCUUAAGCGCCUGUUCGAAUCCAUUGCUAUCAAUCCUACAUCCUCCAAGAAAGCUUGUCCAGAACCUGUUUCAGCUCCUCUGCCCAUGCCAGUACCUCUGACUACUACUGCGGUUGUCACUCCUAAUCCAGAUGAGAAACUUCCAUCUGCUGAUGAUAUUGUUUAUCACGAUAUGAGGAUACCCUUCGUCGUCCGGAACAAACUUAGCAAAGAAUCGUUCAAGUACAUGACUUAUUCUUCUCUUCGUCCGAAGUCAACCUAUAUUCCCAGUCGGGAUGAGGUAUCUGAAGCGGAUCUCUUCCUUCACCGAAAAAAAAAACCCCAGUACAAAACAUGAGAGUGCUCUUUCUUGCUACUUAGUGGAUCCUAGUCGAGAUAGAUGAUAAUCCCAGUCAAUCAUUCACGGCACGACUUUCGUACGAUAAUCCGAAUACCGCUAUUGCCCACAUUAUCCAUAUGCAAGACUACAUGGCUUUUGAAACAACAGAAGUGGUGAUAGCUGAAGUCUGAAACCUUAUGUGGCAGCACACUCACCUUUUCUACUAGUUGGAAGUAGUCGAGACCAUGAGGGCAUAUGUUGCCCAUAACAUAAACGAGAAUGAAGAUCUCCUCGCCAACUUGGAGAAGGCGAAGAGUGAGGUCGCUGUUGCCCAGAAGCUUGUUGAAGAGGGAGUUAGUUUGUUGAGGAAGGUCGAAAAAGAAAAGGAGACGGUGUAGGCUAAAACUCGUCGACUGGCUAAAGAGAAAGAAACUAUGGCGGCCGACAAGAAGAAAGCUGAAGAGAAGGUUGUCCCGUUGAGGGAGAAACUGUAAUAUCUCCAAGUGGGGUUUGCCACUAAGAAGGAAGACUUAGCGGCAAACUACCAAAAACAGGUGGAUGACAUUUUCUUCUACGACUAUCGAUGUAUGAAGAAGCAUGGCAUCGCCCAGGAUACUCUCAACUUUCCUUCCGAUGAUGAGGACAAGUUUCUAGGUGGUCCUGCCUAGAGGGGGAUGACAUGUUUUAAGAUGCAGUCCUUCUGGUGAGUAGACUUGAUAUAUAUAUAUAUAUAUAUAUAUAUAUAUAUAUAUAUAUAUAUAUAUAUAUAUAUAUAUAUAUAUAUCGGCUGUGGCCUAGACUGCUAAAUUUGUAAAUACAAUGGAUGUUAUUAAUUUGAAUAUACUUGUUUUAGCCAUUUGUUUCUCAUAUAUUAUUUUUGUAAGCAAACUUUAUUAAUAGUACUA